AAGAAAACAUCAAAAUAAAUAAAUAAAUAAAAGUUAUAUUAUUCUGCAAAAUGAAAACAACAAAGAUUGCUUUACUCCUUUUUGGAACAUUUGGUUUUUCAACUUUAGAUGUUGUUAUAAAACAUGCCUUUGCUACAGAACAAGAAGGAAACCCUUAUGGUCAAGAACUAUCAUAUUGGGACGAAGAUCCAUUAAAUCCUGAAAACAUUGAACAGGUUAAAAAAACUGUUCUGGAACCAAUACCAGAAGUAAGUUCGAGUAAUGAAGAGAUAAAUGAACCAAGUAACGAUGAAACAGAAUCAGUAGUUGCAUGUAAUGAACAGACAAAUAAACCAAAUGACGGUGAAACAAAAUCAGUAACUACGAUUAAUGUUGAUGUUAGUAAUCCAGAAGAUGAAAAACCGCCAAGUGCUGGACCGUCAGGUGAACAUGUAGUAGUUAAAAAAAAUGUGAAUACAAAAGACGCUGGACCACAUGAAGAAACUCAUUUUACUCCAAUAACUGAUAAGGAUUUAUCAGCUGCAGUAGAGAAUGGUGAAGCACAACUAACAGUUGUAAUAAAUGAACUUACUAAAUGGAUGAAAGAUGAAAAAGCAGUUUAUUUUAGGGAGAUAGAAAAUAUUGAAUUAAAGUGGAAAACUGAAAAAGUUGAGGAAAUUAAAUUCCUUUUACUUUAUUUAGAAAAACGUUGGUUAAAUUUUAUAGGAAAUGUUGAUACAAACGUAUCAAAAAAAUUUGUACAAGAGUCCUCUUCGUGGACAGAUAAACAAUGGGCAAAAUGGAUACGCUCAGAAGGUACUGAUCUACUUACACAUCAAUUUAACAUGUGGCUUAAAUUUAGCGAAGCGCAGUUGAUAUUUGACGCAAUAGAAAGUUUCAAAAGUUGGGUAUUAGAAAAAAAAAGUAUUGUUAAUGCACAAUCUUGGCCAGAUAAUAAAAAAGCUAAAGAAUUAAUUAAUUUUUUGAAAUUUGCUAAAAAAAUGCAAAAAGCUUUACAUAAACAUGUAAAUUGUUUUUAUAAACCCAUAAACAAA
RNAcentral lists this long non-coding RNA (1034 nucleotides) under Piliocolobus tephrosceles (Ugandan red Colobus). RNAcentral describes it as "lncRNA (ENSPTEG00000000042.1)". Lineage: Eukaryota; Metazoa; Chordata; Mammalia; Primates; Cercopithecidae. The record is from RNAcentral.